This is a transfer RNA of 76 nucleotides. It matches the Rfam family "tRNA". From Rfam's summary of the family: Transfer RNA (tRNA) molecules are approximately 80 nucleotides in length.
GCCGAGAUAGCUCAGUUGGUAGAGCAGCUCACUUGUAAUGAGCAGGUCGCGGGUCCGAGUCCCGCUCUCGGCUCCA